ACCCCAGCUCCUGCUCCCCGGCGGCGGCCGGUGGGCAGAAAGACCGAAACCCACUCACGGCCGCCUGCCGAAUCGCGGCUCUGCUGUUUGUGGGGCGUGCUAGAAACGUGGUCCUAAAAAGAAUGGCGUCCAUUUACAUAAUGCUUUGUUUGCGUUUCGCAAGUUUCUUUCGGUUAAAGCCACAGAAACCCCACCUCCUGCCCUUGUGUCGUUUCCACCGCGGCACCCUUUUCCGACAUUAGAAACAAUAGUGUACGCCUGUGGAGGCCUCGUUUGUUCAGGGGCUGCCGGCCAGGGCUUCAGGACGUUUCUGCGGCUUUCCCCGCGCGGCCUGGGCUCCCGCGGCUGCUUUUCGGGCCCAUGGGCGCAGCCACUGCGCCAGGCUCAAGGGGGGCGGCCCCGUCAGGGCCCGCCAUCUUGGAAGGCCUUUUUUGCCGGUUCUUCCCGCUGAGGAAGUGUCGCUCAAGACGCUGGCCUAUGAGUUGUGAUUUCUGCCUUUUCCCCUUCCUCCUUGGGCUAAGCCAGACCAGAAAGGGCCCCGUGCGCAACGUGCUUCACAAUCUCUCAGGGAAAGCGGCUAACGUGGCGCUACUCCGCCUCCCCUGUUCCUUACCCUUGGGGCGGCCGCCAUGUUUCCUGAACACAAAAUGGCGACACGUGGUUAGCAUUCGUCGCCAACGAGAAAUUGGGGUCGGCCCGAAAGCUCUAGAAUGCACCCCUCUUCCUCCCCGGGGCCUUCCACCUCCGCGAGUUUUAUGACUUAAAAAAGCCCACAGGCUGGUCUGAAGGUCGGAGGCCUAAUUUUAACGCGUUUUCCUCCCUUUAAUUUGAAACGGGAACGCGAAUGACUGUAAAAUGUGGGCACAAUAUUUAAUCUCUCGCCUUUUUAAAGCUUAAUAGUGGAUAAUAGGGGGGCAGUAUCAAGGGAUAAUUUGGGUCCCCACAGUACCAAAGCAUUUAGAAACCUCUGUUUAAUUUAAGGAAUGAGAUAAGUUACUGCUUUUCUAGACUUCCUAGCAUGGGCUGUUGUGCUGGAGAGAACGAGAGCUACGAAGAGACUACAGUGCCUCUGACUUUUUCAUAGGACAGUUGGCCGGUGAAUCUUAUUAAUAGUUUACCACAAUUAAGUGUUCAUUUUUAGUCUAGAAGGGACAGGCGUUUAUUGUGCAUUGGCCAGUGCCAGCACAUCCGAUGCAAGGCAGUUCACCGUAUUCUAUCUUUAAUUUUUACCAUGGUCCUCUGAGGUAGGUGUUCUUAUCUCUCUCUCUCUCUCUCUCUUUUAAACAGAGGAAGACAAACAUAAAGAUGAAGUGCUUAAUUCAAGGUCACACAAUGUCGGGGAUGGACCUCCAGAUUUCCUUACUGACCUGCAUUAUCUUGUGGAUACCUGAGUGAAUUCCACACCACCCAUUUUAUAGAUGAAACCACUGAGACAUGGAGCAAUUGACUGAGUAGUCACUGCCCCACCCCUGCCUGGAGCCUCACACAUGACUCGCCUCCUCUCAGUGACCACAGGAAAACAAGCUCAGGGCUCCCACUGAUUGUACAUUAUGGUGAGACGUGGUCUUGUAACACAGUGGUUAAGAAUGUGACUUUGGAGCCAGCCUGCUAGGGGCUGAAUUCUGACUCAGCCAUUUACUAACUGUGUGACCUUAGGUGGAGUCUCACUCUGUAGCCCAAGCUGGAGUGGCGUGAUCUCGACUCACUGCAACCUCCGCCUCCUGGGAUCAAGUGAUUCUCGUGCCUCAGCCUCCUGAGUAGCCGGGACUACAGGUCACAGAAUUUUCCACACUCCUUGACAGAGGUGCUUAACCCUUAUCCAUCAGCAUUCUCAGACAGCACCUCCGGUUAGGGACAGUAUCUGACCGUCCGACAUCCCUGCAGCCCCCAUGUGUCACACAGACUCAGCCUCAGGUAGAUGGUUUCCGUAGAUGGUGGCUUUCUUUGGACCCUUGACAUCAACCAGUUACUAUUUGGUAAGAACUUAAGUCAUUCCAGUGCCUCUCUCAGAAGCAUUUGCAUUUAGAAUUUCAGGUGUCAUAGAAGUAAUGAAAGACGUUGCAUUCCUGAAGGAAUGAAUAAAUUAUUCAUUUUGUUGUUCU
RNAcentral lists this long non-coding RNA (2102 nucleotides) under Homo sapiens (human). Its description in RNAcentral is "PCBP1 antisense RNA 1". Lineage: Eukaryota; Metazoa; Chordata; Mammalia; Primates; Hominidae. The record is from RNAcentral.